RNAcentral lists this ribosomal RNA (900 nucleotides) under Ascidiella aspersa. RNAcentral describes it as "SSU rRNA". It matches the Rfam family "Eukaryotic small subunit ribosomal RNA", at positions 626 to 1553 of the family's 1831-position model. The record is from RNAcentral. Lineage: Eukaryota; Metazoa; Chordata; Ascidiacea; Phlebobranchia; Ascidiidae.
GCUCGUAGUUGGAUUUUGGGCGCAGGCGGCCGGUCCGUCGCAAGGCGUGUACUGGCCGUCCUGGCCUCACCUCCGGUUCUCCGCCGGUGCCCUUGACUGAGUGUCGGCGGCGGCCGGAACGUUUACUUUGAAAAAAUUAGAGUGUUCAAAGCAGGCGAUUCGCCUGAAUAAUGGUGCAUGGAAUAAUGGAAUAGGACCUCGGUUCUAUUUUGUUGGUUUUUGGAGCGCGAGGUAAUGAUUAAGAGGGACAGACGGGGGCAUUCGUACUGUGCCGUUAGAGGUGAAAUUCUUGGAUCGGCGCAAGACGAACGACUGCGAAAGCAUUUGCCAAGAAUGUUUUCUUUAAUCAAGAGCGAAAGUCAGAGGUUCGAAGACGAUCAGAUACCGUCCUAGUUCUGACUAUAAACGAUGCCAACUAGCGAUCGGGGGGCGUUAGUUUUACGACCUCUCCGGCAGCUUGCGGGAAACCAAAGUCUUUGGGUUCCGGGGGAAGUAUGGUUGCAAAGCUGAAACUUAAAGGAAUUGACGGAAGGGCACCACCAGGAGUGGAGCCUGCGGCUUAAUUUGACUCAACACGGGAAAUCUCACCCGGCCCGGACACAGUGAGGAUUGACAGAUUGAGAGCUCUUUCUUGAUUCUGUGGGUGGUGGUGCAUGGCCGUUCUUAGUUGGUGGAGCGAUUUGUCUGGUUAAUUCCGAUAACGAACGAGACUCUGGCUUGCUAACUAGUUACGCGACCCAAUCGGUCGGCGUCUAACUUCUUAGAGGGACUAGUGGCGUUUAGCCACACGAGAUUGAGCAAUAACAGGUCUGUGAUGCCCUUAGAUGUUCGGGGCCGCACGCGCGCUACACUGACCGGAUCAGCAUGUGCUCGCCUUGGCCGACAGGUCUGGGUAACCCG